Molecule: ribosomal RNA, 579 nt
Filed under: Triticum aestivum (bread wheat)
Lineage: Eukaryota; Viridiplantae; Streptophyta; Magnoliopsida; Poales; Poaceae
Description: partial small subunit ribosomal RNA
Source: RNAcentral
AUGGAUCUGAAUAUUCAUAUCACAAGUAAGAAGAAUUACAUUGAAAUUAUGCCAACUAGCAUUCCACAUCAAAAAUUAUCUUUUUAUCAUUUACCUACUCGAGGACGAGCAGGAAUUAAGCUUGGGGAUGCUAGAUACGUCUCCAACGUAUCUAUAAUUUUUGAUUGCUCCAUGCUAUAUUAUCUAUUGUUUUGGGCAAUAUUGGGCUUUAUUUUCCACUUUUAUAUUAUUUUUGGGACUAACCUAUUAACCGGAGGCCCAGCCCAGAUUUGCUGUUUUAUGCCUAUUUCAGUGUUUCGAAGAAAAGGAAUAUCAAACGGAGUCGAAACGGAACGAAAUCAACUGGAAAAGUUAUUUUUGGAACGAAAGCCACCGGAUAGACUUGGACUCCACGUUAGGAGAUACGGGAAGUGCUCACGAGGGUGGGGGCGCGCCUCCCCACCCCUAGGGCGCGCCCCGUGCCUCAUGGGGCCCCCGUGGCUCCUCCGACGUACUUCCUGCACCCAUAUAUAUCGUCGUACCCUAAAACUUCCAGAACACACAAUAGAUCGGGAGUUCCGCCGCCAGAAGCCUCCGUAG